Molecule: non-coding RNA, 3644 nt
Organism: Aegilops tauschii subsp. strangulata
Lineage: Eukaryota; Viridiplantae; Streptophyta; Magnoliopsida; Poales; Poaceae
Source: RefSeq, a predicted model, not a curated record
UAGCCCGGUCGUCCGUCUUCCCCGUCUCUCCCAAUCCGCCGCCGCUUCCUCCCUUGUCCCCGUCUCUCCAAUCUUUUCUCUCUCUCUCACCCCGUCGCUUCCGCCGUCUGCAGAUUGAGUGUUUCCAGAAUUCUUCGUCCGCCGUCCCUCCCCGCACCCACGCACGCGGACACCUAUCUUCGUCGCUCGCCUGGUUCUUGUACGAUUCAGGGCGGAGCAGGGGAUCAAUUGAUGUAAGGUUCUGCUUCCAAUCCAUCCAGGCCGCCGGCCAGUCCACCGAGGGGAGAGUCCAGAUUGUCAACGCACAACCCUAGACGCCGCGCGCGUACCAUCUCCGCCGCCUCGCCCAGUUCUUGCUCGCCUCAGCUCGCGGGGAUGGAGCAGGACGGCGCCGCCCGUCCCCUCGCGCCAGGCCUAGGACGACGGCGGCGUGGACGGCUGGGCUCACGACGGCACGGAGGCCUCCCCUACGGCGCCCCGGCGGAGUGCCCCGAGGCCGUAGAUCAUCCUCCUUGCCGCCGCCUCCGCGGCCACGUCUCAGCGGCCGCCUCCGCGCAGCCGCGCUCGUGCGCGACCCUCAACUACGACUCGGUGGGUAGGACCCCUGCGACGACCUCGCCUAUUCCGGCGACCACAACCACCGCGUCCGCAAGAAAGUCGCAUGGAUUGGGGAUAUGUACCUCGGUUUGGGUUUAAAGGGGCAAUCUUUGAGCAUUUGUAUAUCAACUAUUGAGGAUCUCAAGUUCACAUGGAUCGCACUAUGAUCAAGUGCAUUCUGGUGCUAUGAUGAUUGUAACAGAAGAUGUUAGCGGCAGAAGCAAUCGCUAUGUAUCAGCUCCAAUAUUAAAAUCAGUGCAUGACACAAUUUUUCUCAUCUGGAACUGCGCUUAGAAGGUGUUUGGUCUGAAAGCUACGCUCCUGAAUACAAUGUGAUAUAAAAGGUUCAUGAAAUCAUCAGGAUUUGGACCUCCAUAGGAAAUCUGCAAGGGGAACAACAACAAAGGAAACUGGUGUAAGAUUUAGUACCAAGACUCGAAGAUGAGCUACCAUCAAGAUUAUGUCUCGACAAUCAAGUAUAGUGUCAACACUUAUGAUUUAUCUGCAAAGGUGCAACAAUGGAGAUUCAAACUAAUGUCGCAUCCUACAAGCAAAAAAGACUACGCUCCAGUUUUUACUCUUACUACUUAUUUUUAUUUCAUGUAGCUACUUGUUCUUGUUUUUGAUUUAGGUUAUUUGCUUCUGCCCUCCCUGUGAUUGCAGAUUUAAUUUAAGCCCAGACCAUGCUGGCAGUGAGUUGGAAUCAGUUAAAAUCGUUACGUUCUCGUUGUCUCUUGCCCACAGCCCUGCUUUGUGUUGUCCUAAUUCAAGUUGCGCCGCCACAAAAUGCUGCUAGUUUAACUGCUGUAAGCUCAACAACAGGAGCACACAGGCGGCCGCUGCAGCUAAGCUCACAUGGAACAUAUGCCCUGUUGCAGCCUCACAGUUUUGCGUCCCAUGUGUUGUUCGGUUGUCCACUGGAGCCAUUCUUUCAUAUGUUGCUCGGUUGCACAGCGCGAGGUAGCAAUGGUAGCUGCGGGUUGAGAGAUGUGGAGAAGAGGGUUCCUCCAGGCUCCAUCCAUGAAUGGUGUGUGUCCAAUGCCUUAGGGUGGCAUGCGGCAAUGUUGGGGACCAGUGAGUAAGAUGGCUGGUGUACAUUCUUUGAAAUAAAGCUGAAGUAAGCCACCACUGUGCCUACUUCGCAGACCAUCUUGGUGUUUCAGCAACAACAACUGCACAUGGUGAGGAACUUAGGAAGCAGACCGCUGCAGCAUACAUCAAAUGCAGCUUGGAGACACAUCAGGUGCAAUCAAUACCAGGAAUUAGGAUUGGUUCUCAUUUGUUUGACCAAAAGUUUGCUGGUAGAUCAGUUUAAGGUACUAUUGUUGGCCUUGCUAGAAUGGCAUGGUUGUCUUCGACACUGCCUUCAAAGGGGUCCUUCAACCUCCAAGGAGAAGGGAACUGAUGUCUGCUAGGGAAAAAAAACUAGGCGAAGCUCUGGAUGCUCGAUCGACCAUGGCAAAGGCACGGGUUGAGCUGCAUCUUGAUGAGAGGAUCGACUAUUUGUGAUGAUUUAUUAUGGUAGACAAUGGAACUAAGAUUUGGUAAAAAAAUGAUAAUAUGAUAGGUGAUUUAUGAUGUACUAUUUUAAAUAACGAUACUAAGCUUUUAUUCCAUAGAUGACAUUUGGUUAUUCUGCAUUCUUUCCUUUACAAAGAUAGAUAUGAUAAGAGAUAAACAUCAUGUACCGGUUAACUUUUUGUAUGCCUAUUGGCAUGCCUUGCUGCCAAGUGCAAAUAGUCUAUAUGAUGCUCAUAAAUAGAGCUUCCCGGUGGGAAGGAUGAGGCGCGCUCAUUGAUACUUUGGUUUUAUAUCCAUUUGUAAUACAUUUUUUCUCUUCCAAGCAUAUAAACUUUAGCAAAUUAGUGUGUGCAAUCAAGUCUCCUAAGUGAACGGUCUUAUUUCACCAUAUCAUCAAGUUUCAGAGCAUAUAAGAUUAGAGUGUGUCAUGCUAUGUGAAAAUCUCUUUGGAGACCUAAUUUCGUAUUUUUCUAUUUUGUCGGUUAGAAAACCAGUUUCCUGAGUUGUUAGUCUGAGUAUUCGAAUUGAUCCGCAGAGUUCAGGGCUUCUGGAUGGAAGAGUUUCCUACAACCUCAAAAUCUUAGUACUCUCUACCUAGACUUCAUAAUACUGCCUGACUUUUUCUGAAGAAUUGUUGAAGUAUGGGUUGUUCGUGCAUUUGCAGUGUUGGAGGUGUUAGUGCAAGAUUGUAGGGUUGGAAAGUAUAGCAAAACGUUAGUUGGUGUAGGGACUUGGUGAAGCCAUCAGACGACUGUGUCUGCUUCCCCGAUGGUUUUGACUUCUGAUGCAUAUUACUUGAUGAUUUAGUCUUUGUGGCAGCUUUCAGUUUGAACUGGCAUUCAGUGGCUUCAUCCUCUUUGGUGCAGCUUGGAGUUAGUGUGCACAUCUGGAUCUUUUAACUUUCCUGAAGCAUAUUACUUGGUUAAUUGGUUUAUGGCGCCUGCUAACUUGCAUGCGAUUUUGAUGGAACCUGAUCUCAUUUUUUGCUCCCAGUGAAUAUACAAAAGGCUAGAAGUAAAUGAUGGAAGAUCCUUUGGUCUCACACGGGGGUCGUACUCAACGUUUGUAUAAUAGAUAAUCAAAUUUUGGCCUUCAGCUUGCAAAUUUAUCACCUUACAGGAGAAGUAAAGUGGGAUCUGGAUCAUGGGAUCUUCAACUGCAUCUGCUUGGUUUGCUGGGGAACUUCCUAGUUUUAAUUUGAUUGACAACUAGCAAAACAGUCCAGCUAAUUUGAUGAUUAAUUCCAGCUGAUUGUACACUUUCAACUCAAGUUACAUUGUGACAUAUGCCCAAGCAUCUGUUCACGCAUCCUACGGUCCUCUGGCUGUUCAGUGGCUAAUUUGAUCACUAUUAACUGUGAAAUGUGGAUUACGGAAUCUUCAGCUACAUAGUUUGCUGGGGUACUUCAUAGUUUUAAUUUAAUUGACAACAAGUAAAGCUUCUCGUUUGAUAUUUCCUGCCGAUUGCUCCAUACAUCCUGGAUUUUUAAGGCGCAAAGUAUCCUGAAUUCACCAUGUAACCUUUAA